Oncorhynchus keta (chum salmon) is the source of this 1910-nucleotide long non-coding RNA. RefSeq lists it as uncharacterized. The record is from RefSeq and is a predicted model, not a curated record. The transcript is spliced from 5 exons. Lineage: Eukaryota; Metazoa; Chordata; Actinopteri; Salmoniformes; Salmonidae.
GAGAAUAUACAGGUGAGUUAGUUGGGUUGAGAAUAUACAGGUGAGUGAGUUGGGUUGAGAAUAUACAGGUGAGUUAGUUGGGUUGAGAAUAUACAGGUGAGUUAGUUGGGUUGAGAAUAUACAGGUGAGUUAGUUGGGUUGAGAAUAUACAGGUGAGUUGGGUUGAGAAUAUACAGGUGAGUUGGGUUGAGAAUAUACAGGUGAGUGAGUUGGGUUGAGAAUAUACAGGUGAGUGAGUUGGGUUGAGAAUGUACAGGUGAGUGAGUUGGGUUGAGAAUAUACAGGUGAGUGAGUUGGGUUGAGAAUAUACAGGUGAGUGAGUUGGGUUGAGAAUAUACAGGUGAGUGAGUUGGGUUGAGAAUAUACAGGUGAGUUAGUUGGGUUGAGAAUGUACAGGUGAGUGAGUUGGGUUGAGAAUGUACAGGUGAGUGAGUUGGGUUGAGAAUAUACAGGUGAGUGAGUUGGGUUGAGAAUGUACAGGUGAGUGAGUUGGGUUGAGAAUGUACAGGUGAGUGAGUUGGGUUGAGAAUGUACAGGUGAGUGAGUUGGGUUGAGAAUGUACAGGUGAGUGAGUUGGGUUGAGAAUAUACAGGUGAGUGAGUUGGGUUGAGAAUGUACAGGUGAGUGAGUUGGGUUGAGAAUGUACAGGUGAGUUAGUUGGGUUGAGAAUGUACAGGUGAGUUAGUUGGGUUGAGAAUGUACAGGUGAGUGAGUUGGGUUGAGAAUAUACAGGUGAGUGAGUUGGGUUGAGAAUGUACAGGUGAGUUAGUUGGGUUGAGAAUGUACAGGUGAGUGAGUUGGGUUGAGAAUAUACAGGUGAGUGAGUUGGGUUGAGAAUAUACAGGUGAGUGAGUUGGGUUGAGAAUAUACAGGUGAGUUAGUUGGGUUGAGAAUGUACAGGUGAGUUAGUUGGGUUGAGAAUGUACAGGUGAGUGAGUUGGGUUGAGAAUGUACAGGUGAGUUAGUUGGGUUGAGAAUGUACAGGUGAGUGAGUUGGGUUGAGAAUAUACAGGUGAGUUAGUUGGGUUGAGAAUAUACAGGUGAGUUAGUUGGGUUGAGAAUAUACAGGUGAGUGAGUUGGGUUGAGAAUAUACAGGUGAGUGAGUUGGGUUGAGAAUAUACAGGUGAGUGAGUUGGGUUGAGAAUGUACAGGUGAGUUAGUUGGGUUGAGAAUGUACAGGUGAGUGAGUUGGGUUGAGAAUGUACAGGUGAGUGAGUUGGGUUGAGAAUAUACAGGUGAGUUAGUUGGGUUGAGAAUAUACAGGUGAGUGAGUUGGGUUGAGAAUAUACAGGUGAGUGAGUUGGGUUGAGAAUAUACAGGUGAGUGAGUUGGGUUGAGAAUAUACAGGUGAGUGAGUUGGGUUGAGAAUAUACAGGUGAGUUAGUUGGGUUGAGAAUGUACAGGUGAGUUAUUUUAAGAGUUGUCUUUUUCUUUGUGCAGCUGUUGUGGGUUGUGUUGUAGUAUGAAGUGUUGUUCUUGUGUUAUUAAAUGACCGAACGAGUUAAAAGCAAUGGCUGGCGCACACCUAAAAGAAAGUAGGUAGAGGUGCAUAUUAAUGGCUGGUGAACUGUAGCCUAUAAAAAUAGUUGGACAGUCGCUAUGUACAAGCUCACAGUAAUAUAUUGGGUAAACGGCCAACAUUUCGGCAUCACUGUGCCUCCUUCAGACCCCUGGAGUCACAGUGAUGCUGAAAUAUUGUUGGUUUCAUCCAAUAAAUGACUGAGUUGGGUUUUAUAUUCGUGUCUUAACUUCAAGCCUUGACUUUCACUGAGGUAUUGGUUCAGCCUUGCGCGGUAGCGGCCUUGCGGAUGACUCGGAUUCUGCUUGAAACCUUUAACGAAUAGCAGCUUCAAGUCAUCAUAUGUAAACAUGGACAGAAAGUGACCUUUUGAGUUCAGGAAAUGGGGGG